Molecule: unclassified non-coding RNA, 207 nt
Filed under: Hevea brasiliensis (rubber tree)
Lineage: Eukaryota; Viridiplantae; Streptophyta; Magnoliopsida; Malpighiales; Euphorbiaceae
Source: RNAcentral
UAGAAGAAUGAAGAAAAAAAAAAAAAAAACACUGUUUGAAAGAAAUGUAGAAAGAUCAACGCAGAAUAAUAGGAAACAAAAAAUAAAAGCUAGGGUUUGAAGGCCUAAAAAAGGGAGUCCAUGGGAAGUUACAGAGAGAACAGACAGUUUGUCUGUGAGUUUCUCUGGAUUAUUUCCUUCUGUUUGGAGGUUAGUUUAGCGACGAAG